UGCGUCCAUGCAUGAGUUGUGCGUCGGCGGAGCUAUGAAUGGGCAGAGAGGGGUGUGCUCUCGCAGACACCAUAGCAGCAGUGAGAUGAGGAGUGCCAUCUACUCCACUGCACGUCUGCACUGAGAGAAGAAAAGAGAAGGAAGAAGGGAGAAAAGGAGUUAUACAACUGCAAUCCUAAACCUGCAUCAGCACAGAGUUUCUCCUGAGAUAAAUCAACCAUGGAACAGAAGGCAAAUGAGUGUCCCACCACCACUUCUCCUCAGAAGCACAUGAAGAACAGGUCCAAAUCCACAGAGGAGAUGCAACAGACAAAGAAGGCCUUUUCCUCACAAAAAUCCCUCCCAGGUAGACCAGAGCUGGACAAAGUGAAGGAGUGUCCUGAUGGCUCUGAUACACCCACGUCCUCAACAGAGGAACUAAAAUGAUAAAAGGAAGGGCCAACAGGACAUUAGCGUUGCCAUCAAGCUACAAGAUCAUCAAAAACACAACAUGCAUAAAAAUGUACAUAUGUACACAGGGAAACAUAAGAAAUAUGAUAGUGGUAAUAGUGAACUAAAUUAUAAAACAUGCAAACAAUCAAUUUGUGAUUUGUUGAAGGAUACUGUAUAAAAAUGUUAAAUUGAACACACACAAGUUAAUGCACACUGAAACAAUCGCAUGUAAACAAAAGGACACCCAUGAUGAUGCUAUUUCAUUGUACUGUGAGUGUCGUAUACAUACCACACUGAAUGUGUAUUGACAAUAAAGUGAUGGUGUUGAGUGAA
Long non-coding RNA from Dicentrarchus labrax (European seabass), 765 nucleotides. RefSeq lists it as uncharacterized. The transcript has 5 exons. Lineage: Eukaryota; Metazoa; Chordata; Actinopteri; Moronidae. The record is from RefSeq and is a predicted model, not a curated record.